This 1064-nucleotide long non-coding RNA is filed under the name Marmota monax (woodchuck). The record is from RNAcentral. Lineage: Eukaryota; Metazoa; Chordata; Mammalia; Rodentia; Sciuridae.
CUGUGUUGGCCACUGUGUCAGCCCCUGGUGGCCUGGCCGUCUGCAUUGGCACCAGCAUCCAGGGGACGCUGACACCCGCUGAGCGCAGGGCCACCCUUCCAGACCUCAACUCGGGUGGCGGUCACGCAGGCACAUGCCUCCCUAGACAAGAGCAUGGCCUGCUGUGGGCGCUGGCCCGCGGGGCAGGACCCCCAGAGGCAGGCAGUGUCCACGGUGGCCCACACCACCCGGCCCCUGGCCAGGCCUUCCUGGUGCAGUUCCCACCUGUGUCCCUCUCUGGCCUGCUGAGCUGGUGGCCUGGCUCAGGCCACUGUGCCUCUGUGAGGCCCCUUUCCUUACCAGUGACCUGGGGACCCCUGGCAGCGCUGAGUGUCCCGGUGUGGAGCGUGUGGGCAGCACCUGGCCGGGGGAGUGCAGAGGUGCUGCAGAGGGGCACCAGACUAAGCCGUCUGUCCCUGCAGACAGGGACAUGAAGAGACAGCAUGGGGUGGCCCCAGCAGCUGCUCACUCCACCCCCCACUGUGUGCCCAGUGUGCCGGCCCCGUGGGCAGCCCUGGGGAACAGGCUCCUGGGGACUGGCAAUCCAGCAAGGAGGCCCGAGGAGGACCUGCACGCUCCGUGGGCUCUGGAGAAACGCAGAGGAGCCCGGGCGAGGAGGGCUUCUGGGGGCUGCGCAGUGACGGAGGGCCCUGGGCCUCACAGACAGGCACAGAGGGAAACAGCAAGUACAAAGGCCCCGGGGCAGCAGGAGGAGGCUGUGUGGCUGGAGCAGGGGGAGGGGGAGGUACGUGCCGGGAAGCUACAGGCUGGGGUGCCCACUAGCACAGCCAGCCCUGCCACCUAUGGCUACCCGCUCCCCACGGGGACACUGAAUGUCCGAUUCCCUGUGUACCCCACUUCCUGGAGGGGGUUUCUGGGCAGCAGUCCAGCCCCUUCCUGGGUCCUUCAGGGAACUCCCUGUGCUCCGGGCGUGAGGCCUGGCGGGUCACACAGGGGGCAUGUCACUGCGCACCUGAGCAGCCUAAUGCUUGCAGGAUGGGACCCUGGGCGUUGGGCACUGUGGG